CUGUUACUGAAUGCAUCUAUUCUCAUCAGGAAUGUCUGGGAUAAUAACAUCAGGAAUCCUGCCGUUCCCCUGAACAGACUCCAUCUAACUCCCACAAGCUCUGACUCUGACCUGUAGCCUUUGAUACAGAAAACCAUAUUAUUAUCAAAUGAAUGAAAGCAUGGAACUCUGGAAAAGAAAGGCAAUGCAAUCUGUGAGGACAAUCCAGAUUUCAGGGAAUCCCAUGAAGGUUACAAGAGCCAAAGGAGAUGGAGGACACCAGGAGAACAAAGCCCUCUGAACCAACUAAGCAAGGUGCCCAUGAACUCACAGAGUCUGAAGUAGCAAGCAGAUGACCUGCAUGGUCUGCACCAUGUGCUCUAUGUGUAUAUCAUAGCUAUUGGCUUAGCACUUUUAUGGGAAUCCUUAUUGUGAGAACAAGUUGGUCUCAAACUUUUGUCCUUGCUCUUGGGACUAUUUU
Long non-coding RNA from Mesocricetus auratus (golden hamster), 460 nucleotides. RefSeq lists it as uncharacterized. Lineage: Eukaryota; Metazoa; Chordata; Mammalia; Rodentia; Cricetidae. The record is from RefSeq and is a predicted model, not a curated record. The transcript has 3 exons.